Molecule: ribosomal RNA, 397 nt
Filed under: uncultured Streptococcus sp.
Lineage: Bacteria; Bacillati; Bacillota; Bacilli; Lactobacillales; Streptococcaceae
Description: bacterial SSU rRNA
Rfam family: Bacterial small subunit ribosomal RNA
Source: RNAcentral
UUAAAUGCAGAGUGCAUUCUCGAGAAAUCGGGAUUUCUUCGGGACUCUUUGCAAGGUGCUGCAUGGUUGUCGUCAGCUCGUGCCGUGAGGUGUCGGGUUAAGUCCCGCAACGAGCGCAACCCUCGACCUUAGUUGCCAGCAUUCAGUUGGGCACUCUAAGGUGACUGCCGGCUAAAAGUCGGAGGAAGGUGGGAUGACGUCAAAUCAUCAUGCCCCUUAUGACCUGGGCUACACACGUGCUACAAUGGUUGGUACAACGAGUUGCGAGUCGGUGACGGCGAGCUAAUCUCUUAAAGCCAAUCUCAGUUCGGAUUGUAGGCUGCAACUCGCCUACAUGAAGUCGGAAUCGCUAGUAAUCGCGGAUCAGCACGCCGCGGUGAAUACGUUCCCGGGCCUU